GAUAAACGCUGGCGGCGCACAUAAGACAUGCAAGUUGAACGGACUUAAUCGAACUAUUUAUCUUUUGAAGCGGUUAGUGGCGGACUGGUGAGUAACGCGUAAGGAACCUGCCUAUUAGAGGGGAAUAACAGUGAGAAAUCAUUGCUAAUACCGCAUAUGCCAUAGAUAUCACAUGAUAACAGUGGGAAAGGAGCAAUCCGCUAAUAGAUGGCCUUGCGUCUGAUUAGAUAGUUGGUGGGGUAACGGCCUACCAAGUCGACGAUCAGUAGCCGGACUGAGAGGUUGAACGGCCACAUUGGGACUGAGAUACGGCCCAGACUCCUACGGGAGGCAGCAGUCGGGAAUAUUGCGAAAUGGAGGAAACUCUGACGCAGUGACGCCGCGUAUAGGAAGAAGGUUUUCGGAUUGUAAACUAUUGUCGUUAGGGAAGAGAAAGGACAGUACCUAAGGAGGAAGCUCCGGCUAACUACGUG
This 473-nucleotide ribosomal RNA is filed under the name uncultured bacterium. RNAcentral's name for it is "partial 16S ribosomal RNA". It matches the Rfam family "Bacterial small subunit ribosomal RNA", at positions 28 to 507 of the family's 1533-position model. The record is from RNAcentral.